This 548-nucleotide long non-coding RNA is filed under the name Carica papaya (papaya). RNAcentral's name for it is "long non-coding RNA (CPAP_LNC011086)". Lineage: Eukaryota; Viridiplantae; Streptophyta; Magnoliopsida; Brassicales; Caricaceae. The record is from RNAcentral.
GCCACAUGAGAGAGCAUGGCUAUAUGAGCACAGGAGAUCAUGACUUGGCCAUUUAAGAGGAGAUCAAAACAACACAUAUUAUGAAAGAGCCCAUCCACAUGGAGAUAAGCCUAUGGACAUAUCACAAGAUGGACUUGGGCCACAUAGGAGUAUCAUUAUGCCUAGCAGACCAAUCAUAAGAUCACGAGUCAAGAAAAUCAAGCAAGCCUUUCAAGCUUAUGUUCAAGAGUGGACUAAUGAAGAGGAAAGGCUUGGGCCAAUGGAAGCCCAUGAAGGAAAGAGACCGAAUCUAUUAAGCCAAAAAAAGAGUUAGCUAAUCAAUGUCUUAUAACUUAUGGACUCUCCGCCAACUCAUCCAUGAGAGUUCCUAACCUUCUCUAACUCAUAAUAAUCAACCAACAAAGAGUCCUACAAGUCAUGAUGUUCAGUUAAAUCUUCUACAGAUCUUUUAUAAGCAAUCAACCAUCAUUAUCCUAUAAAAAGUCCUCAAAUUAUUGGACUCUCUGGUCUUUUACACUUGGAAGCCAAUCACCCAGCUUAAAACAUCC